GGACAAGUGAGACUUCAAGAAUACAGGAUGCCUACUGUCCCAUGCUCACGAACUCUCUCCCCUCGCUUGUUCUCUGUUCUUUGCUCAAGUGGUAGAGAUCUAAGCAGCUCAUUUUAAAGAAGGGAAAUGACAUUAAGGCAGAGAGGGCAAAGUCAAACUCAAACUCAUUGAACUUGGUGAGUCUCCUGAGCCUCCUUCCACCCCAAGCUUGCAGAAACUGCCUGAGACUCACUGUCUCAGCUUCUGCUUUCUGGGAAUCCAAUAAGGAUCCUCUCUGAUAUGGCCAGAAGAUAAAAGACUCCAAGUGAUAAGCAGGGACUAUGGGGUAAAGCUGUCAAGGAAAGCUGCCUGCACAAGCAGCACUGUGGAUUCUCAAGAGAAGUCUGAAAGAAGCAGAGCUUAAGAAAACCCAGGCAUUACUACUCACUGUCAGACUGGGCACAGACAUGGUGAUAUUACUAAUCCUAAGUGUUUGUAUAUACCAUGUGUUGUACAAGAGACAACCUUUCCACAGGAACUUAUGAGGUAGUCUGAAAGUAAGGCAUAAAUAUAUGUGGAAGGAACCUAGAGAUCUGAGGGGGAGCCCACUGUAGGACAGUGAUGUGAGCAGCAGGAGAACCCCUGUGAUUUCCCAGUCCCUAUUUUUAGAUCCAUUGUUCUAUGACUCUGACAAGUAUGCUAAGAGUCACUCAAACACAGAGACUAGCUAUCCUUCAAAGCUUCUGUUUGGUAGACAACUGGGAUUCACACUUCCAGUGAGAGAAGAACUGGGUUGAGAGCCUACUGGGCUAGAGGAGGAUAGAAGAUGAGUUGGAUGUGGGGGGAGCACAAGAAAAGUCCACUCGGAAGGCA
Molecule: long non-coding RNA, 852 nt
Filed under: Mus spicilegus (steppe mouse)
Lineage: Eukaryota; Metazoa; Chordata; Mammalia; Rodentia; Muridae
Description: lncRNA (ENSMSIG00000025672.1)
Source: RNAcentral